UACGUAGGGGGCAAGCGUUGUCCGGAAUCAUUGGGCGUAAAGAGCGUGUAGGCGGCUCGGUAAGUCCGCUGUAAAAGUCCAGGGCUCAACCCUGGAAAGCCGGUGGAAACUGUCGAGCUAGAGUCCGGAAGAGGCGAGUGGAAUUCCUGGUGUAGCGGUGAAAUGCGCAGAUAUCAGGAGGAACACCAAUGGCGAAGGCAGCUCGCUGGGACGGUACUGACGCUGAGACGCGAAAGCGUGGGGGAGCAAACAGG
This 254-nucleotide ribosomal RNA is filed under the name uncultured bacterium. Its description in RNAcentral is "partial 16S ribosomal RNA". It matches the Rfam family "Bacterial small subunit ribosomal RNA", at positions 524 to 776 of the family's 1533-position model. The record is from RNAcentral.